AUAAGUGAAUAGUGAAAUCUGGCGGCUCAACCGUACAGGCUAUUAUUCAAACUGCUAAGCUCGAGAAUGGUAGAGGUAGCUGGAAUUUCUAGUGUAGGAGUGAAAUCCGUAGAUAUUAGAAGGAACACCAAUGGCGUAGGCAGGCUACUGGACCAUUUCUGACGCUGAGGCACGAAAGCGUGGGAGCGAACCGGAUUAGAUACCCGGGUAGUCCACGCCGUAAACGAUGGAUACUA
RNAcentral lists this ribosomal RNA (236 nucleotides) under uncultured Candidatus Saccharibacteria bacterium. RNAcentral describes it as "partial 16S ribosomal RNA". It matches the Rfam family "Bacterial small subunit ribosomal RNA", at positions 583 to 818 of the family's 1533-position model. Lineage: Bacteria; Candidatus Saccharimonadota. The record is from RNAcentral.